RNAcentral lists this ribosomal RNA (253 nucleotides) under uncultured bacterium. RNAcentral's name for it is "partial 16S ribosomal RNA". It matches the Rfam family "Bacterial small subunit ribosomal RNA", at positions 524 to 776 of the family's 1533-position model. The record is from RNAcentral.
UACGAAGGGUGCAAGCGUUACUCGGAAUUACUGGGCGUAAAGCGUGCGUAGGUGGUUUUUUAAGUCCGUUGUGAAAGCCCUGGGCUCAACCUGGGAAUGGCAGUGGAUACUGGAAAGCUAGAGUGCGGUAGAGGGUAGUGGAAUUCCCGGUGUAGCAGUGAAAUGCGUAGAGAUCGGGAGGAACACCAGUGGCGAAGGCGGCCACCUGGACUGAGACUGACGCUGAGGCGCGAAAGCGUGGGUAGCAAACAGG